GGCUUUAGUGGCGGACUGGUGAGUAACGCGUGAGCAACCUGCCUAUUAGAGGGGAAUAACAGUGAGAAAUCAUUGCUAAUACCGCAUAUGCCAUGAACAUCACAUGAUGAAAAUGGGAAAGGAGCAAUCCGCUAAUAGAUGGGCUCGCGUCUGAUUAGAUAGUUGGUGGGGUAAUGGCCUACCAAGUCGACGAUCAGUAGCCGGACUGAGAGGUUGAACGGCCACAUUGGGACUGAGAUACGGCCCAGACUCCUACGGGAGGCAGCAGUCGGGAAUAUUGCGCAAUGGAGGAAACUCUGACGCAGUGACGCCGCGUAUAGGAAGAAGGUUUUCGGAUUGUAAACUAUUGUCGUUAGGGAAGAUAAAAGACAGUACCUAAGAAAAAGCACCGGCUAAAUACGUGCCAGCAGCCGCGGUAAUACGUAUGGUGCAAGCGUUAUCCGGAUUUACUGGGUGUAAAGGGAGCGUAGACGGACUUGCAAGUCUGAAGUGAAAGCCCGGGGCUCAACCCCGGGACUGCUUUGGAAACUGUAGGUCUAGAGUGCUGGAGAGGUAAGUG
RNAcentral lists this ribosomal RNA (559 nucleotides) under uncultured organism. RNAcentral's name for it is "bacterial SSU rRNA". It matches the Rfam family "Bacterial small subunit ribosomal RNA", at positions 88 to 663 of the family's 1533-position model. The record is from RNAcentral.